This 1288-nucleotide ribosomal RNA is filed under the name uncultured bacterium. RNAcentral's name for it is "bacterial SSU rRNA". It matches the Rfam family "Bacterial small subunit ribosomal RNA", at positions 92 to 1399 of the family's 1533-position model. The record is from RNAcentral.
UUAGUGGCGAACGGGUGAGUAACGCGUGAGUAACCUGCCCUGGAGUGGGGGACAACAGUUGGAAACGACUGCUAAUACCGCAUAAGCCCACGGAUCCGCAUGGAUCUGCGGGAAAAGGAUUUAUUCGCUUCAGGAUGGACUCGCGUCCAAUUAGCUAGUUGGUGAGGUAACGGCCCACCAAGGCGACGAUCGGUAGCCGGACUGAGAGGUUGAACGGCCACAUUGGGACUGAGACACGGCCCAGACUCCUACGGGAGGCAGCAGUGGGGAAUAUUGCACAAUGGGGGAAACCCUGAUGCAGCGACGCCGCGUGGAGGAAGAAGGUCUUCGGAUUGUAAACUCCUGUUGUUGGGGAAGAUAAUGACGGUACCCAACAAGGAAGUGACGGCUAACUACGUGCCAGCAGCCGCGGUAAAACGUAGGUCACAAGCGUUGUCCGGAAUUACUGGGUGUAAAGGGAGCGCAGGCGGGAAGACAAGUUGGAAGUGAAAUCUAUGGGCUCAACCCAUAAACUGCAUUUGAAACUGUAGAGCUUGAGUGAAGUAGAGGCAGGCGGAAUUCCCCGUGUAGCGGUGAAAUGGCGUAGAGAUGGGGAGGAACACCAGUGGCGAAGGCGGCCUGCUGGGCUUUAACUGACGCUGAGGCACGAAAGCGUGGGUAGCAAACAGGAUUAGAUACCCUGGUAGUCCACGCUGUAAACGAUGAUUACUAGGUGUGGGGGGUCUGACCCCUUCCGUGCCGGAGUUAACACAAUAAGUAAUCCACCUGGGGAGUACGGCCGCAAGGUUGAAACUCAAAGGAAUUGACGGGGGCCCGCACAAGCAGUGGAGUAUGUGGUUUAAUUCGAAGCAACGCGAAGAACCUUACCAGGUCUUGACAUCCAACUAACGAAGUAGAGAUACAUUAGGUGCCCUUCGGGGAAAGUUGAGACAGGUGGUGCAUGGUUGUCGUCAGCUCGUGUCGUGAGAUGUUGGGUUAAGUCCCGCAACGAGCGCAACCCUUGCUAUUAGUUGCUACGCAAGAGCACUCUAAUAGGACUGCCGUUGACAAAACGGAGGAAGGUGGGGACGACGUCAAAUCAUCAUGCCCCUUAUGACCUGGGCUACACACGUACUACAAUGGAUGUUAACAGAGGGAAGCAAGACAGCGAUGUGGAGCAAACCCCUAAAAACAUUCUCAGUUCAGAUUGCAGGCUGCAACCCGCCUGCAUGAAGAUGGAAUUGCUAGUAAUCGCGGAUCAGCAUGCCGCGGUGAAUACGUACCCGGGCCUUGUACACACCGCCCGUCA